CCUCGGAGCGCCCUCGCCAGACACCCCUGCCGGGGAUGGACACUGAGGGCAGGCUGGCUCCA
Molecule: microRNA precursor, 62 nt
Filed under: Ovis aries (sheep)
Lineage: Eukaryota; Metazoa; Chordata; Mammalia; Artiodactyla; Bovidae
Description: miRNA (ENSOARG00000023790.1, ENSOARG00020081257.1)
Source: RNAcentral